Molecule: long non-coding RNA, 1218 nt
Organism: Gasterosteus aculeatus aculeatus (three-spined stickleback)
Lineage: Eukaryota; Metazoa; Chordata; Actinopteri; Perciformes; Gasterosteidae
Source: Ensembl
GCUACGGCUUCCCCUAAUGCUGCUACGGGGGGGGCCGCGGCGACUCUCAAAUCAGCGGCGCCUAAACGAGGUGCACGUGUGCGGCUGCGAGGUAAAAGUAGUCCGCAGCUCGGCUUGCAGCGUAGCGGGAGUGGACGCGUGUGCGUGCCCACGAACGCUGGAGGAGGACGUUAGCAGCGGUGCGCGGCUGUUGGAGGCUUGGGUUUCAGCGCGGCGUAAAGGGGGCAGUUUGUGUGAGUGAAGGAAUCCCAUUUCAUGGAAUGAGAGGCCAAUCUUUAAUUGCUUUCCAGGGAAUUUCUGAUGAUCUCAGGUGAGCGCAGAAAACAGCCUGACUAAUGGAAACAUGAUCUCAAGAGAUUCCUUCAGGAUCAUACUUAAUCCUGGUUUGGACUGUGGACAUAGCAUCGCCUGCAGCAGAUGUUUGCUCCUGGCAUGGCUGCAAACUGCAUGAGCUCCAUCACCGACAAUCCAGUUCUCGGGAUGCAUCGCCAGCAGCUUGGACACGGAGAAGCUGUGACACAAACUCAGCAGGACAGUGGAGUGUAUUCUGCUGCUCGGAUAUUAUGGAACAGACCGGUCAACCUCGUCUGGAGAGGCACUCGAUAGGAAAAUCAGCUCUAUGAGGCUACGAUUACCGCGGUUACCACAAUGGAUCUACACAUUGUUUGACUUUUUCUAAAUUGAACCUGGAUUAAUAUUUCCCUGUAUAUACAUCUGCUUUUGAUAUUCAGUGUUUAUUCCCGCUGUUGCUCAUUCCCUGCACUUAUAUACUGUGUUAUUCUGGAUACAGUAUCAACAAAUGCUGGAACAGUAAACGGAAAAUAAUCAGCUGUUAUUUCCUCUUUAGGUCUAUUAUUUUUACAGGAGGAAGGCAGCACUUACACCAAUCUCGUAAGGAGCAAACUAAAUGUUUUCCUGUUGAAUUAAUUAACACACAUAGGAAUUGUCACAGGGAUUACUCAAUUAAUAAACAUUCAACAUCUUCCAAUUAAGAAAAGAUAAUCCUUUAUUAGUCCAGCAGCAGGGAAAUUACAACAAUUGCCUUCACAAUGAAGCCAUUGAACCAAAGGUGCUUAUGAAUACAACUAUUGACAACUCUUUGGGAGUCUUGUUCAUUCUGGUUGAGGAAUCUUUUCCAACUCUUUGAUCUGAUAAAGACGUAUUGCUUCAUCGGACUUGUCUGUGUAACCCUCGAACAGAAAUAAAAAAGAAAAGGUG